UAGAAUCAUUGACUCCGAGCGAAGUAAUCUAAGGGCAACGCCUAUGAUUAUGAGCCGUCAGCUUCCAUAUAUAUAUCUGGAAGGACUGGCCGGGGUUGGGAUGGAAACAGACCAGCCUUCCCUUUUUGAAAAGGAGCCUUAAGAGACUGCCGC
Anaerostipes sp. 992a is the source of this 153-nucleotide regulatory RNA element. It matches the Rfam family "Molybdenum/Tungsten riboswitch aptamer (Moco RNA motif)". NCBI's taxonomy places the organism in Bacteria, Bacillati, Bacillota, Clostridia, Lachnospirales, Lachnospiraceae. The record is from Rfam.